GCUGCCUAUCAUUUGCUUUUCCUCAUGAGCUCCUGGACCACCUCAUAUCACCAGCACCCUCUACCCAAGGUCCUGGAGCCAACACUGGAGUAAAAGAGCACAAGAGAACUCCUUAGAGGUGGAAGGAUACCCUCUGAGGUCAAAUCAUUGGGCUUGUGGCCAUGAGACCACAGACUUUGCCUGGCUUCCAGUGACUGUCCGAGAUGACCUGUGGAGUGCACCGCCUGUACUUGGACAUCACUGUCUUUUCGGAUCCAUACCCGUCAUCCUUGGAAUUUCCCCUGCAUCCAAACCUGUUCCUGAUACAGGUAUAACCCUAAGGAAUAUCUUGGAUGUCUUCACGGGGCUUAUGACUUAUUCUGAGGUUUACAAAAUAGAGGCCCCCAGCUGAGCAAAGAGAGGGCUGCAGCGCCGAGGGAACAGCUGCCGGACUCACCGGAGAGGCCUCCUGGAGCACGCCGGGACCCCCUCCACCCCCUGGCUUUGGCUGCAUCAAUGGCUAGUUUGCCUGAACUAUAUCUGAGCCACUGAGAGUAUUUAUUAAGCAGAGAAUAAUUUUGAGUUUCACUUUUAUAACUUUUGUUUCAAAAGUUGUUUUGGAUAAUUUAAUGAAAUGACUGUAAACCAGAAUUCCCCUUUUCAUUAUUUCUUUGUGUCAAUAUAAAAAGAGUUGAUGAUUUUAAAAGCCAGUGAGAUGUCCCUGUCUGUGGAUGUCAGCGGGAGGGUGGGGUCUGACGCCUUUCUCUGGUGGCUGUCCAGGAAGAUUGCCCCAGCUUGCACUCCCUUUUGGCGGGUUCCAGAGCCUUCCAUUUGAAAGGAGCAUCUCUCACCACUCUGCCCCACCCAGCACCAGCUCUUCU
RNAcentral lists this long non-coding RNA (860 nucleotides) under Homo sapiens (human). RNAcentral's name for it is "non-protein coding LINC01887:8". Lineage: Eukaryota; Metazoa; Chordata; Mammalia; Primates; Hominidae. The record is from RNAcentral.